This 235-nucleotide small RNA is filed under the name Arabidopsis thaliana (thale cress). Lineage: Eukaryota; Viridiplantae; Streptophyta; Magnoliopsida; Brassicales; Brassicaceae. The record is from RNAcentral.
CGUUAAAAUUAGAUGAGGUAUCCCUACGUAGCGGGAGAGACCCACGACGAAUUGUUCCUAAAGUCUUCAAAAAAGGAUAAAUACGAUUGCAUUGCAUGAACUAACGGAUGCGAUCAUACCAGCAUUAAUGCACCAUGUCCCAGGAGAACUCUGUAGCUAAGCGUGCUUGGGCGAGAGUAGUACUUAGGUGGGUGACCUCCUGGGAAGUCCUCGUGUUGCAUCCCUCUUUGUUUUU